RNAcentral lists this ribosomal RNA (449 nucleotides) under uncultured bacterium. RNAcentral's name for it is "bacterial SSU rRNA". It matches the Rfam family "Bacterial small subunit ribosomal RNA", at positions 331 to 795 of the family's 1533-position model. The record is from RNAcentral.
CCAGACUCCUACGGGAGGCAGCAGUGGGGAAUAUUGGGCAAUGGGCGCAAGCCUUACCCAGCAAUACCGCGUGAGUGAAGAAGGUCUUCGGAUUGUAAAGCUCUUUGAUCAGGGACGAACAGAUGACGGUACCUGAAGAACAAGCCCCGGCUAACUACGUGCCAGCAGCCGCGGUAAAACGUAGGGAGCGAGCGUUGUCCGGAAUUACUGGGUGUAAAGGGAGCGUAGGCGGGAUUGCAAGUUGGAUGUGAAAACUGCGGGCUCAACCCGGAGCGUGCAUUCAAAACUGCGAUUCUUGAGUGAAGUAGAGGCAAGCGGAAUUCCUAGUGUAGCGGUGAAAUGCGUAGAUAUUAGGAGGAACACCAGUGGCGAAGGCGGCGUGCUGGGCGUUUACUGACGCUGAGGCUCGAAAGUGUGGGGAGCAAACAGGAUUAGAUACCCCAGUAUUC